UUAAGUGGCACUCACAUUGAAUACACUUUUGAGGAUAUUCCCAUUUCCACACAUUUUUCCGCAGUUGCUGUAGACAAAGACUUAUUUCCUUGUAUAAAACAUGCAGUACAUUAUACUUCAUAUACUGGUCUCAGUCAUAUUUCUCAUUAGAAGACAAUCACAGCUUUCAUCAGACAUUGAGGAAUCAACCUUCCAUCCAAACUAACCCCCAGCUAGAAUAUUUGGUCAUUUUUACAACUAAAGGACCAUUUCUCAAAACAUGUCAGGCAUAAAGAUCCUCCAUGGGCUAGCUGACGAUAUUGUUAAUGAUACACUGAGCCUCUUUUCCAAUCAGUCCAGGUUACCACUGACCACACCAGUGACAGAUGGCAGUUUAUUCACAGCCACCACUAAUGCUAGUCUUCAGCUCAUGAAUACAUCGAUGCAGAUGAAUUCAACUGAUGGAUUUGGAACCUCUGCAAGUGAUUGGGUUCAUUGUCAAUACAACAUACUGCUGCUAGGAAUGCUGCUAUUAGUGGCCUAUUUAUUCUUCAAAUGGUUCCAAAGGAUAUAGACUUUAAUUAACAUAACUUUGACCAAGUCUGAUAAAGAAAUCCAACUGAAGACAUUUCAUUAUAUUUUUAUUUAUAAUUUAUUAUUAAUGUCAAAAUCAUUUAGAAUGUCUUGAUAUUUUAAUGUUUGAAUUUUGUUUUCAUUAAGUCAGCUAGCCUGACUAUAUUAACAUUUGACUGAAAAAGUCUACAUGCAAUAUAUCUGAUAAAAUGUUAGGGGAUUCUUAAAACUAUAAUCUAGGGCAUUAAUAUUAUUUAAUAUGUACCCAUUUAUUCAGCAUGUCCUCAAUUUAAUUAUAUGUUUGUUGACUCUAUCAAAAUUAAAUUAUAAUUCUGGUUAUAUUUUUAUACAUCAAAAUUAAACGUGAUUAAAAUUUCCUUGGCAUGUGAUAUAUCACGAGCAUAAUUGUCACGAGACUGCGACUGUUUACAGUUACCGUAGCAGGAAACGAUCUCAGAUUCUGCACAGAUAAGAGAGUGCAUAUAACCACAACUUCCAGACAUGUGAGCAAUUUUCUCAAUGACUUUACGUCUUUCAUUCAAAGUACAAUUCUGAAUACUGUAUACAUUGUAUAUGUUGACUAUUUUUAUCCUUUUUUUAUAAUCAAUAAAUGUACUAUACAAGGAAACAAUAAUUCAAAACUAAAGUUUUUUUCUCUCAUUUAUGACAACAGUUUUAUUUUUUAUGCCGCUAAUAUGCACCCACAUCGAUAGAUCUAGAUCUGGGGUGCAUAUUGUUUUUGUCCUAUCUGUCUGUUUGUCUUUCUGUCUGUUGUCAACUUUCAUCUUCGCCAUAUCUUUUGAACCUUGAGAGAUAGAAACUUCACUUU
Molecule: long non-coding RNA, 1381 nt
Organism: Saccostrea cuccullata (small rock oyster)
Lineage: Eukaryota; Metazoa; Mollusca; Bivalvia; Ostreida; Ostreidae
Exons: 3
Source: RefSeq, a predicted model, not a curated record